CUUUAAGUUUCCAUGACAUAAAUAUCAGCUGACAUACACACAAGGUGACUCACCUUCUUCCCAUUAAACUAGGUUGAGAUUAAAAACAAACAAGCAAACAGCUGGAAUGUGGCACGUGGGUCAGACCCUUCUGAGUCCAGUUGGGUAACUCAGCAGAGAUCAGAAUGAUCUUCAAAAACCAACAAGCCAUUGGCACGUAUCUUCAGGCAUGCUUGAAGUCUAUGGGGCCAAAUGGUAGAGUAUCCUGGCAGAGCCAAAAAGUCUUCUUUUAUGACACAGAAAAGAAAACUUCUUUCAAAGUAGUUAUGCAACCCAGGAGAACACAAUGCAUCCACUGUGUGUGUCCUGGGGCUGUCUAUGAACACAUGAUUUCAUAUUUUUGUCCUCUGUAAACUUCAGCAUUGAUGAUGAACAUUAUUUCAAGGAAAUAUCCCACUACUUUAUCUCUGUAAAGACAUCCAUAGAGAAUGGGCCUUUUAGAAAAUCUCACACCACUUCCUAGUUGGAGCAAUUAAACAAUAGAGAAGAUGGGUAUUCUGGAGCAGAAUUUAAUGAAACAGAACUCCACCAUCUAUGGCAAGUUUGACUGCUUGAGUCUCCAGAGGAUAAUAGUUGGAGGCCACUGAGGCCCAAAUUCAUCAGUCCGGCCAUUGAAGGACACAAGUGAACAAAGGAGGACGGCAAAGACAGAACUGUGAUAUUCAAACACUCAAUAGCUCACAGUGUCGGGGUUCAUUAUGACACUUACUAAGCACAUGCCAUAUUUCUGACACUGUGCUAAGAGUUUCAUGAACAUUAACUAAAUUAACCCCAUAAAAACGCCAUUAGAAAGAUGCAGUUUUGUACCCCCUUACACAGAUGAAGAAAAUAAAGUAUAGAGACUUUAAGAAAUUUGCCAGAAGUCUUAUAACUGAUUGGUUUGCCAUGGCUCUUUGAAACAGUUACUCUUGUCCUCAUUGUAGAGAUGGCGAUACUAAGGCAGAAUAUGUUUCUCUUGCUCAUCGGACCAAAGUUUGGAAUCACGUCUCAUCUUCGUGUAUUUUGAAAAUCUAACAAAUCUAGAAGAUGGUGUGAAUGUGCAUAUAUUUAGACAAUUUAAAAUUUUGUCAAGGACAUGAAAGAAAGACAUGUUUUCUAACAAAACAGAAAAAAACAAAAAUAAGAACAGAAUGCUUUUAACAUUGCUUAAAGAACUACAGAACUAUGGUGGCAAAGUGAGUAUGUCAUACAAGGUAGGCUAUGUAAAUCUAUGUGUGAUAAUUGUGUACUAUUCAUUGAUAGGGGAUGUACUUUCUACUUAACACAUGUUCUCCUCCUAGAUACCUUACCUAUAGGUACAGAAGUAUCUAUUAUAUUGGUUUAGGCUGAUUCUAAGGGAUAUUUCUCUUAAUGUAAGCUGAAGCAGAGAGAAACUCUAUUGGCAGAUGCAAGUGACUUUUUUAACACAAUGAGUUACUGAAGGAUGGAUUCUUAAGCUAUGGAAUAUUGCUGAAAUCAAAGCUGCUAUAAUGCAGUUAUACUUUCAUAAGUCUGAAUAGAAAAAAAAGUCACAUCAUGGAAAAGAGAACUCAAUCAAAUAUCGGACUUCCACACUAUUUAUGUGUACUAUGUGUACUAUGUGUUCUUAAUAAAUAUUCUCAUAAAUACCUGCAAAA
RNAcentral lists this long non-coding RNA (1655 nucleotides) under Homo sapiens (human). Its description in RNAcentral is "PREDICTED lncRNA (TCONS_00227640)". Lineage: Eukaryota; Metazoa; Chordata; Mammalia; Primates; Hominidae. The record is from RNAcentral.